UACGUAGGGGGCAAGCGUUGUCCGGAAUCACUGGGCGUAAAGCGCGCGCAGGCGGUCAUCUGCGUCUAGGGUGAAAGCCCAGAGCUCAACUCUGGGACUGCCUUGGAUACGGGGUGACUUGAGGAUCGGAGAGGCAAGGGGAAUUCCACGUGUAGCGGUGAAAUGCGUAGAGAUGUGGAGGAACACCUGUGGCGAAGGCGCCUUGCUGGCCGAUUUCUGACGCUGAGGCGCGAAAGCGUGGGGAGCAAACAGG
Molecule: ribosomal RNA, 253 nt
Filed under: uncultured Tumebacillus sp.
Lineage: Bacteria; Bacillati; Bacillota; Bacilli; Caryophanales; Alicyclobacillaceae
Description: partial 16S ribosomal RNA
Rfam family: Bacterial small subunit ribosomal RNA
Source: RNAcentral